GGAGGAGAAACAAACAAACCAAUUAUUUUUGCAGCAAAAGCCACUUUUGAUCAUUUCGACAAUUCUGAAUAAUGUGGAAGACUGACAUGCUUCACACAUUGAUUGCUUUGCUACAGUGAGAUUGUUUCUCAAAAGAGAUCACAGUUGCAUACCGAAGAGAAAAAGAGAUGUGAUGAGUUUGCUGUGGUGAAGAAUGAGAACAAAGAAAAGACAACACAUCUUGCUCAACUCAGUAAGUUAUUAAAUAAGUAUUCUAUUGCAUAA
Molecule: long non-coding RNA, 264 nt
Filed under: Anser brachyrhynchus (Pink-footed goose)
Lineage: Eukaryota; Metazoa; Chordata; Aves; Anseriformes; Anatidae
Description: lncRNA (ENSABRG00000016503.1)
Source: RNAcentral